AGACAUCAGUGGUGAGAGAGAAGACCAUUGAGCUCCGCUGAUAGCAGACAUGUUCCCCAGACAAGUCACACUAUGGCUGUAGUCAGUUAUGAGGGAAAAGCAGAAAAAAGACAGGAGAGGAAAGGUGAACACACCAAGGAAAGCAUUCCCAUGAUGUAGCUGACCAUCGGCCCCCCAGCUUUCCCACUGGAGGGGCCUGUUUGGCAGGUCUGAGUGGGGUGGGACCCAGGAGACUAUUUUCAAAAGCAUCCCAGGCGAUCCGACGCUCACCCACAUUUUGAAAAGCAAACCUUUGGGAGAUGGUGGCUGCUGGGAGGAGCAGCAGGUUCAAGCACACCCUCUGUUGGCCGUAUGGCAAUUUCCAUGACACAGUGCAAAGAGGCAAGGCUCCUCUUGGCUGAGGACUGGAUGAGGCCUCGGGACCUCUGUGUGGGUGGUUUUGAGAUAAGGGGAGCUUUUAGGCUCCCGACUGCCUCCCUCCUUUCUAUAAUUUAUGAUCGGGGGUACGAGGCCGAGGCGUGUGCGGUGCAUACCGGAAACCUGGAGUCACAGGUCCCCCCAGCCGCACUGGGUCUUUGUGAGCACAGACCUGCUUGCACAUCGAGGUUCUCACCACCUCGUCGGACACCCUGGUGUACAGACUGCAACUGCUGAUGCCGAAGCUGUAUUAUCCUGGCACUAGCCCAAGUCCAGCAGCCAUGCGUACUUACCCCAAUUCCCCAAUUGUAUUUUUUUCUCUCCACUGCCCGCAACUGUGAACUCCCUCCCUGUUCCCCUCAAAGUCCCAGACUUUCCCAAGUAGGUCUCGGUUCACUUAGACAUUCCUUGAGCCACACUUCCGAGGGCAUGGCCUUUUAGAAGACGUUGCUUUAAACUCAGUGCCGUAUGUCACGUUGCCAGAGCAAGAUAAGCAAGACCAGGCUGCAAUCACCGCUGGCCAAUGAAAAUAAGAUGCACGCGUGGGGUGGCUUUGGUUUGGCUUGGUCUGGUUUCAGAUCUAAGGAGAUGAAGUGAUUAUUUAGAUGGGUGGGAGGGGGAAUCUAAGAUAAGAAUAAUGAUUUGGCCUUGGAUGGAUUGCCCAGGAAACUGCUGAGGUUUGAGUUAGGCUGAUUCCCAUGGCACAGUUUCCGGGGCCUGUUCCAACUCGCUACCUGGCUCAGCACUGCGUUUUCAUCCUAGCAGUUUGCAUUUCUCAAGGAAGUAAACAGCCCAUGUGAUCUGCAUCGGAAAGCAAAUGCGGUUCUUUAGCCUCGUGCUGCCGUGGUCUUCCAAGCGGGACACAACCUCAGGAGUUGAUGAGUUGGCAUUCAGGUACCCACAACCGGGCUUAGUAUGAAUCAACACAGGAUUCAGCCAGCUUGACUUUGCCACCAUGUGAGCCAGUGCUUUGGGGGAUACAAAGACACAACACACAGUCUUCCUCUCUUGUAGUAAUGUAUUAUAUUCCAUAAUGAAUUA
Long non-coding RNA from Pipistrellus kuhlii (Kuhl's pipistrelle), 1458 nucleotides. RefSeq lists it as uncharacterized. The transcript has 2 exons. NCBI's taxonomy places the organism in Eukaryota, Metazoa, Chordata, Mammalia, Chiroptera, Vespertilionidae. The record is from RefSeq and is a predicted model, not a curated record.